Molecule: unclassified non-coding RNA, 1851 nt
Filed under: Hevea brasiliensis (rubber tree)
Lineage: Eukaryota; Viridiplantae; Streptophyta; Magnoliopsida; Malpighiales; Euphorbiaceae
Source: RNAcentral
AGUAUAUAUGCCAACAUAAGACAAACAUUUACAUUUUCAUUGAUGUAAUAGAAAAGACAAAAUUUACAACAUUUUGGCAUACUAUUCAAGCCAACAUAAACAACCCAAUACCACUAUCAUUUGUGACAUUAAUUUUCAAAUAGCCUACAAACAUGACUAACAGAAUAACUAUUACAAAUGCAUAAAACAGGAUCAUCUUUUGCUGGUUCAACACUUUCUUCACUUCAAGCAGCUCACUUUCAUACAUUUUUUUUUUACUUUGAUAACACUUCAACUUUAUUUUUCAAUUCAGUACUAAGUAAUUCCAAGUGUUUACACUUCUCUUUCAUCAGUGCCAAUCAUUCAGUCAUAGUGUUAUUUAGCUCCUCCAAUCCUUUAACUUUCUCCUUGAAUGUAUUUCUCUGUCUCAACAAAUAAGUAAGGAUUUUCUUCUCAUAGCCAUGAGACGGAGGAUCAUACCAUUGGAAGAAGUUGCAAUCAUUCCCCCUCCCAAUAUCCACAUCUGAAAAACCUUCUCCCUAGAUUAGCCAAUGUCCAUGAUGUAUAGAUUGAAGCUCUCAAUCCAUGUUUGCACAUCACGAUUGCAUCACUAGAAACAUCUUCACUUUGAGGAGGCAAAAUUUCACUUCCGAACAAUAUUGCAUUAACUAGAGAUCACACUUUCUCCAACUUUGAUGAGCAAAUUGAAGAAGCAUGUGUUCGGCUUAAAGGGAGGAGAACGGAAAGGAGAACAUAGUUACUUUUAGGGAUUCAUUUUAGAGGUAUUUUAAGGAUUUCUCAUUUGGCUUAGUAGAUGGGCUGACGUGGCAUAACAUGGCAGCCACGUGACAUUUUCGUUACUCCACUAAUGGGGUGCCUAACGGCAAGGCAUAGGUUUCAUAAUUCUCAAAGUACAGGAUUUUAUUGGUAAAUUUAGAAAGUAUAGGAUAUAAUUAAAAAAAUUCUGAAAGUACAAGAUUUUUUUAGCAAUUUCCCCUUCUUUUAACGAUAAAGAGCAAAUAUAUCAUUUUCAUUGCUUCACUAAAAAAAAAUAAUUAAAAAAAAUAACAUUAAUUACAUUUGUUUAAAAUACUUGCUCUUAAAAACAAAGAAAAAAAGCAGAAGAAAAGAGUUCAACUUAGCUUUAACUCCAUUUUCUGACGAUCCAACAAAAUCCUCAACUGUUUAAACAUGCCUAAUGGUUUUAUCCGUCUAGUUUGACCAUACCAGUGAUUUUCUUCAUCUCAUUGCCCUUCCAAGAGGAGUGUCAAAAUAAUAAAACAUAAAAAGAAAGCUUAUUAUUUAGUCCUUAAAUUUUAUUAUUAAUUAUUAUUUAGUUCUUAUAUUUUAAAAAUUAAAUGAUUUAAUCUUUAAUUUUUAUUUCUAUUAAAAUUGAAGGUCCUUCCAUCCAAUUAAAAGUAAUCUAUCGUUAGUUUGAAGUGAAAAGACUAAUUUACCCUUUAUUUAGUAAUAGAAUAAAUCUCUAAAAUUAAAAAGAACAAAAACGGGAAAAAUAACAUAAGAACCCACAAGGAUCCAGAAAACAGAGCUACUGUCCCUUUUCAUCCAAUAAUGCAAAAAUUAAAUGGGAGAAGAGAGAGAGGGACACUGGCCGUCUAUCACCACCACCUGUUCCUCCGAUAUCAGUGGCUGUCCACAAACAUUUCUCCCUAGCUGUCCAUGCAAUCGUUGUCCAUUAGACUAUGUAGCAAAAAAAUAAAAACAUAGAUACGGAGAACGUGAAAACAGACGCAAAGAAUUUAAAAAAUAUAUAUAAAAAAACAACGUUAAAAAAUGCAUAUAUAAAUUAACAUAAAAUAAUAGAUUGUUCUUGAAUCUAUUUCAAUAUAAAAUUAUUAAGACAAAUCUAAA